This 253-nucleotide ribosomal RNA is filed under the name uncultured bacterium. RNAcentral describes it as "partial 16S ribosomal RNA". It matches the Rfam family "Bacterial small subunit ribosomal RNA", at positions 524 to 776 of the family's 1533-position model. The record is from RNAcentral.
UACGAAGGGGGCUAGCGUUGCUCGGAAUUACUGGGCGUAAAGCGCACGUAGGCGGACUUUUAAGUCGGGGGUGAAAUCCUGGAGCUCAACUCCAGAACUGCCUUCGAAACUGAAAGCCUUGAGUUCGGGAGAGGUGAGGGGAACUGCGAGUGUAGAGGUGAAAUUCGUAGAUAUUCGAAAGAACACCAGUGGCGAAGGCGGCUCACUGGCCCGAUACUGACGCUGAGGUGCGAAAGCGUGGGGAGCAAACAGG